CACAAUUGGCACAGUCAGCUGGAUAAACUUUUCAGCUGGAUUCUGCUCUCUCAGAGGCUGCUGCAGCUGAGAGAUCCUGGGACAUCUGACAAGCACCAGCAGAAGGAUAAACAUCAGAGACCAGAGCAACACCCUAUACCCAGAUCUUUCCAGUGUCAUUGAUGAUGGCUAUCAGCAUAGACUCUCUGCCCAGGGUCAUCACACUCCUAAGGAACUCGAAAGACCAAAGUUAUCAUCUUACAGCAGUUGGGAGGGGCCAUAAAGCCUACAGAGAUGUAUACCUCCUGGAGGGUGCAUAUCCAGCUGGGUUAGUUAAUCGGGUUGCUCAAAGUUACUGUAGGGUUUCUUUUCUACAGUAUAACUUCCCUUAUGUCAACCUCUUGUUGAGCCAGUAUCACCUCGUCUGCACUCUCCUUUGGGAAUACCUCUUGCAUCCAUGGUUAAGUCAUAAAUAGGCUUAUUGGUUUGAGUUGCUAUUAACAUCCUACUUAUCAAUGGCCAGAUGAUGGAUCCUUUGAAUUGAAAAAACUUCUACAUUGGAAAAAAUUUUUAGAGAUCUCUCAUAUUCGUUUAAUGAGUAGUCUUUAAGACUUCCUUAAUAUGAUGGAAGGAGAGAAAUUAGAACAAAAAUCAAAGGCCACUCAGACCCCUUCCUAUUUACCUUUAGACUUUUGCAGAUAUUGUAAAAAAAAAAAAAAAAAAAUCAAGAUAUCGGAAGUACAAUUGUCUAGCACUCAGACAGAAAAGGAAAAAAGAUAAUAUAACAGCUAGACUUAUGGACUCCUUAACAGACGAAAGAACAAAAGUUUAGACUUAAGACUCCAACAUAAAACCCCUUCUUAAAAUCUGGGCCCAUCCUCCUGUUGUUUUUUUUUUUUUAAGUCUUUUUAUUGUGGUCUAAAUAGUUUAUAACAUUGUGAAAUUUCAGUUGUACGUUAAUAUUUGUCAAACACGAUAUAAAUCUGCUCCUGCAUGCCCCGUGCCCACCCUGCCCCACACCCUCCCUCUAGUAACCACUAAAUUGUUCUCUUUGUCCGUAAGUUUGUUUAUAAACCACACACGAGUGAAAUCAUACAGUGUUUGUCUUUCUCUGUCUGGCUUAUUUGCUUAACGUGAUGCCCUCCAGAUCCAUCCAUGUGGUUGUGAAUGGGACAAUUAUGUCUUUUUUUAUGUUUGAGUAGGAGUCCAUUGUAUAUACAUAUACCACAUCUUCUUUAUCCAUUCAUCAGUUCUUGGGCAGUGGGGUUGCUUCCAUGUCUUGGCUAUUGCAAAUAAUGCUGCAAUGAACAUAGGGCGGCAUAAGUCUCUUUGAAUUGUUGAUUUCAAGUUCUUUGGAUAAACACCCAGCAGUGAGAUAGCUGGGUGAUAUGGUAUUUCUGUUUUUAAUUUUUUGAGAAAUCUCCAUACUGUUUUCCACAGUGGCUGCACCAGUUUGCAUUCGCACCAGCCGUGGAUGAAGGUUCCCUUUUCUCCACAACCUCUCCAACAUUUGUUGUUUUCUGUCUUGGUGAUUAUAGCCAUUCUAAUGGGUGUAAGAUGGUAUCUAAAUGUAGCUUUGAUUUUUAUUUCCCUGAUGAUUAGUGAUGUUGAGCAUCUUUUCAUGUGCCUAUUGGCCAGCUUUAUAUCUUCUUUGGAAAAAUGUCUGUUCAUAUCCUCUGCCCACUUUUUGAUUGGGUUGUUUAUUUUUUUGUAGAUCAGUUGUGUGAGUUCUUUAUAUAUUAUGGUGGUUAACCCCUUAUCAGAUGUAUGAUUUGCAAAUAUUUUCUCUCAGUUGGUGGAUUGCUUUUUCAUUUUGAUCUUGGUUUCCUUUGCCUUCCAGAAGCUCUUUAGUCUGAUGAAGUCCCACUUGUUUAUCUUUUUUUUGUUUUCCUUGUCUGAGUGGACAUCCUAUUUGUAAAGAUCCUUUUAAGGCUAAUGUCAAAAAAUAUACUGCUUAUAUUUUCUUCCAGAAGAUUUAUGGUUUCAGGUUUUGCCUUCAAAUCUUUGAUCCAUUUUGACUCUAUUUUUGUGUAUGGAGAAAGAUAAUGGACUACUUUCAUUCUUUUGCAUGUGGCUGUCCAGUUUUCCCAGCACCACUUAUUGAAGAGACCUUCCUUUCUCCCUUAUAUGUUCUUGGCUCCUUUGUCGAAGAUUAGCUGUCCAUAGAUGUGUGGUUUUAUUUCUGGGCUUUAAAUUCUGUUCCAUUGAUCUGUGUGCCUGUUUUUGUACCUGUACUAUGCUGUUUUGAUUACCAUAGCUUUGAAAUAUGUUUUGACGUCAGGGAUUGCAAUGCCACCAGCUUCGUUCUUGUUUCCCAGGAUUGCUUUGGCUAUUUGGGGUCUUUUGCUGCCCCAUAGGAAUUUUAGGAUUCUUUGUUCUAUUUUUGUGAAAAAUGUCAUUGGGAUUCUGAUUGGGAUUGCUCUGAAUCUGUAGAUUGCUUUAGGUAGCAC
Molecule: long non-coding RNA, 2429 nt
Filed under: Equus caballus (horse)
Lineage: Eukaryota; Metazoa; Chordata; Mammalia; Perissodactyla; Equidae
Description: lncRNA (ENSECAG00000047059.1)
Source: RNAcentral